GGACUGCCUUUUGCAUAAUGAGCCUGCGAGUUGUGGUGUCUGGCAAGGUUAAGCAAACGCGAAGCCGUAGCGAAAGCGAGUCUGAAUAGGGCGCUUAGUCAGAUGCUGCAGACCCGAAACGAAGUGAUCUAUCCAUGAGCAAGUUGAAGCUAGUGUAAGAACUAGUGGAGGACUGAACCCAUAGGCGUUGAAAAGCCCCGGGAUGACUUGUGGAUAGGGGUGAAAGGCCAAUCAAACUUCGUGAUAGCUGGUUCUCUCCGAAAUAUAUUUAGGUAUAGCGUUGUGUCGUAAUAUAAGGGGGUAGAGCACUGAAUGGGCUAGGGCAUACACCAAUGUACCAAACCCUAUCAAACUCCGAAUACCUUAUAUGUAAUCACAGCAGUCAGGCGGCGAGUGAUAAAAUCCGUCGUCAAGAGGGAAACAACCCAGACUACCAGCUAAGGUCCCUAAAUCUUACUUAAGUGGAAAACGAUGUGAAGUUACUUAAACAACCAGGAGGUUGGCUUAGAAGCAGCCAUCCUUUAAAGAAAGCGUAAUAGCUCACUGGUCUAGUGAUUUUGCGCGGAAAAUAUAACGGGGCUAAAGUAAGUACCGAAGCUGUAGACUUGCGCACAACUUAGAUUAUUUAAGUUUAGAAUAUGAGAAACUAAGUUAUAUGUUUAGUUAUAUUUUUACUGAUUUUUAUAGAGUAAAGAUAGAAAUAAAACUUAGUAAAAUCAGUAAAAAUAUUCUUAGACUAAAGUUAAGUAGUUUAAGUUGUGUGCAAGUGGUAGGAGAGCGUUCUAUUUGCGUCGAAGGUAUACCGGUAAGGAGUGCUGGAGCGAAUAGAAGUGAGCAUGCAGGCAUGAGUAGCGAUAAUUAAUGUGAGAAUCAUUAACGCCGUAAACCCAAGGUUUCCUACGCGAUGCUCGUCAUCGUAGGGUUAGUCGGGUCCUAAGUCGAGUCCGAAAGGGGUAGACGAUGGCAAAUUGGUUAAUAUUCCAAUACCAACAUUAGUGUGCGAUGGAAGGACGCUUAGGGCUAAGGGGGCUAGCGGAUGGAAGUGCUAGUCUAAGGUCGUAGGAGGUUAUACAGGCAAAUCCGUAUAACAAUACUCCGAGAACUGAAAGGCUUUUUGAAGUCUUCGGAUGGAUAGAAGAACCCCUGAUGCCGUCGAGCCAAGAAAAGUUUCUAAGUUUAGCUAAUGUUGCCCGUACCGUAAACCGACACAGGUGGGUGGGAUGAGUAUUCUAAGGCGCGUGGAAGAACUCUCUUUAAGGAACUCUGCAAAAUAGCACCGUA
RNAcentral lists this ribosomal RNA (1281 nucleotides) under Campylobacter coli. RNAcentral describes it as "partial 23S ribosomal RNA". It matches the Rfam family "Bacterial large subunit ribosomal RNA", at positions 598 to 1732 of the family's 2925-position model. The record is from RNAcentral. Lineage: Bacteria; Pseudomonadati; Campylobacterota; Epsilonproteobacteria; Campylobacterales; Campylobacteraceae.